This is a long non-coding RNA of Oncorhynchus tshawytscha (Chinook salmon), 2278 nucleotides long. Lineage: Eukaryota; Metazoa; Chordata; Actinopteri; Salmoniformes; Salmonidae. The record is from Ensembl.
GUCCGCUUUAUGUUCUUCAAAGAACUGCAACAAUAAAAAUAAAAGUAAAAUACGGUAGAAAAUGUAUAAAAUUAAAAGGCUAAACAAACAGUUUUAUGAACAAUACCACAGCUCAAUGCUUCUUCUUUACUUCAGAUAUAGAGCAUAGAGGAGACGGAAGAGAGGAAGAGAGGGGUAGACUAGAGGGAGAGAGGAAGAGAGGGGUAGACUAGAGGGAGAGAGGAAGAGAGGGGUAGACUAGAGGGAGAGAGGAAGAGAGGGGUAGACUAGAGGGAGAGAAGAGAAGGGGUAGACUAGAGGGAGAGAGGAAGAGAGGGGGUAGACUAGAGGGAGAGAAGAGAAGGGUUAGACUAGAGGGAGAGAGGAAGAGAGGGGUAGACUAGAGGGAGAGAAGAGAAGGGGUAGACUAGAGGGAGAGGGGAUAGACUAGAGGGAGAGAAGAGAAGGGUUAGACUAGAGGGAGAGAAGAGAAGGGGUAGACUAGAGGGAGAGAGGGGGUAGACUAGAGGGAGAGAAGGGAGGGGGUAGACUAGAGGGAGAGAGGGGUAGACUACAGGGAGAGAAGGGGUAGACUAGAGGGAGAGAGGGGGUAGACUACAGGGAGAGAGGGGGUAGACUACAGGGAGAGAAGGGGUAGACUACAGGGGAGAGGGGGUAGACUAGAGGGAGAGAAGGGGUAGACUACAGGGAGAGGAACAGAGAGAAAUAGAGAUAUAUGGAAAGAUAAAGAGUUGGAGAGAGGGAAAUAAUUAGUUACAUUUUUCCGUUUAUUUACUACUUUUUCUUUAAUGAUUUAUGUCCCGCUCACAGUCUGAUUCCCAUGCAACCAUGUGAUUGGCUGGCAAUAUUGCUUGGAUGACCUGGGGGAGUUCACUGACAGCAGAUACAAAUACAAUGAGCAGAUCAGAAACAAUGGAGAGUUCUGCCCGUUCUGGACAGUGAAUUUCUAUCUGCUUUGUUCCUACAGUUAGCCCGUGUCUCAAAUGGCAGCCUGUGCACUACUUUUGACCAGAGCCACGUAGAUCAUAGGCCUCUGGUCUAAAGUCAUGCACUUUUAGAGGAAAAGGGUGCCAUUUAAGACACAUACAGUCUUACACGCUCUGAAUGACUUCAUACUCACCCCCUCAACCUUCUCCACAUCGCCCGCACUCACACACACACACACACACACACACCCCACACCCACACCCACACCCACCCACACCCACACACACACACACACACACACACACACACACACACACACCUGCCUGGCUGGGGUUGAUCACCUGGACAACGGGCGGGACAAUCAACCAAUGAGGUGAAGCAACAGGAUGCACGGAGAGGGAGGGCCAAUGACAGUAAAUUAACUCAAAUUCUCUUAGCCAAUGGCAUCAUGAACAGCUCUAUCGCUAUAGAAACACAUGAUAACACGUAAUAUUCAGUUUUGGAUUAUUUUACAGACAUUGUUGAUAUAAAACACUCAUCAGAGCAGGUACAGUCAGUCGUACAUGUAAUGUCUAUAGCACAGGCUGUAAAACAGGGCUGGGCCUGUGGCAGGGGAACAUAUCCUGCCUUUUACAGCAGGGUCACUCACUAAACCGCACCCCGACACAAACACACCACCCGGCCUCUCAGAGACACUGUAGCCCAGUCACACCUCAGUUGGUCAGUAUCUGCUGUGUGUUGGGAGGUGAGGGAAGGUUGAUUGGGUACAAAUUCAGUUGUUACGUGUCCUGUAUCUGUCCCAUCUUGUUAUUGAUGAUUGAUAAAUGAUCUUGCAAUAACAAUAUAUGCCAUUUCUCAGAUGCUUCUACCCAAAGCAACACACUUUUUAACUUAUGGGUGACCCCAGCGGGAAUUGAACCCACAAUCCUGGUGUUGCAAGUGCCAUGCUCUACCAAUGGGGCUACAGAGGACCACCAUGUACUGAUCCAGUUGUUAUGUGUUGUCUGUCUGUCAUUAUUAAGCCCAGUAAUAAUGGUCUGAUGGGCGUAAAGGAAGUAUAUUACGUUGAAGUGAAUAAACCAGGUGGUAGUUUAUUGUAAACCCAGUUGGUAGGUCAGGUGGUAGUUUAUUAUAAACCCAGUUGGUAGGUCAGGUGGUAGUUUAUUAUAAACCCAGUUGGUAGGUCAGGUGGUAGGUUAUGGCUGUGCUGGGUUUAGGAGUAACUCCUGUAGUCUCUGCUCUGUUAGCAACACAUGGAGUAAGAUAAUUCAACGUGCAACAAUUUCCCCAUAGAGUUUAAACUGCAAACAUUUUCAUUCUUCCUCUUUUCUUCAUCAGCAUCUUCGUCAGC